GUUUCAAUAUAAGUAUGUCCCAUGAGAUAUUUGGGAUAUACUUAUACUAAAU
This is a non-coding RNA of Callithrix jacchus (white-tufted-ear marmoset), 52 nucleotides long. The record is from Rfam. Lineage: Eukaryota; Metazoa; Chordata; Mammalia; Primates; Cebidae.